RNAcentral lists this ribosomal RNA (111 nucleotides) under Acanthosepion pharaonis. The record is from RNAcentral. Lineage: Eukaryota; Metazoa; Mollusca; Cephalopoda; Sepiida; Sepiidae.
CAUUCAUAUCACAUUGAAACACCGGUUCACGUACGAUCACCGAAAUUAAGCAACAUAAAGUCUGGUCAGUACCUAGAUGGGUAACCGUUUGGGACUACCAGGUGCUGUAAG